RNAcentral lists this ribosomal RNA (196 nucleotides) under uncultured bacterium. RNAcentral's name for it is "partial 16S ribosomal RNA". It matches the Rfam family "Bacterial small subunit ribosomal RNA", at positions 328 to 539 of the family's 1533-position model. The record is from RNAcentral.
ACGCUCGACACCUACAGGAGGCAGCAGUGGGGAAUAUUGCACAAUGGGGGAAACCCUGAUGCAGCGACGCCGCGUGGAGGAAGAAGGUCUUCGGAUUGUAAACUCCUGUUGUUGGGGAAAAAGAGGAUGGUACCCAACAAGGAAGUGACGGCUAACUACGUGCCAGCAGGCGGUAAUCUGAGCGGGCUGGCAAGGC